Molecule: ribosomal RNA, 459 nt
Filed under: uncultured bacterium
Lineage: Bacteria
Description: partial 16S ribosomal RNA
Rfam family: Bacterial small subunit ribosomal RNA
Source: RNAcentral
CCUACGGGAGGCAGCAGUGAGGAAUAUUGGUCAAUGGCCGGGAGGCUGAACCAGCCAAGUCGCGUGAGGGAAGAUGGCCCUACGGGUUGUAAACCUCUUUUGUCAGGGAGCAAGGUGCAGGUCGGGACCUGCUGUGAGAGUACCUGAAGAAAAAGCAUCGGCUAACUCCGUGCCAGCAGCCGCGGUAAUACGGAGGAUGCGAGCGUUAUCCGGAUUUAUUGGGUUUAAAGGGUGCGCAGGCGGAGGCACAAGUCAGCGGUAAAAUCGCGGGGCUCAACCCCGCUCCGCCGUUGAAACUGUGGCCCUUGAGUGCGCGAAGGGUAGGCGGAAUGCGUGGGGUAGCGGUGAAAUGCAUAGAUAUCACGCAGAACUCCGAUCGCGAAGGCAGCCUACCGGCGCGCAACUGACGCUCAUGCACGAAAGCGUGGGUAUCGAACAGGAUUAGAUACCCUAGUAGUC